Molecule: ribosomal RNA, 497 nt
Filed under: uncultured bacterium
Lineage: Bacteria
Description: partial 16S ribosomal RNA
Rfam family: Bacterial small subunit ribosomal RNA
Source: RNAcentral
GAUGAACGCUGGCGGCGUGCCUAAUACAUGCAAGUCGAGCGGACGGACGAGAAGCUUGCUUCUCUGAUGUUAGCGGCGGACGGGUGAGUAACACGUGGAUAACCUACCUAUAAGACUGGGAUAACCUCGGGAAACCGGAGCUAAUACCGGAUAAUAUUUUGAACCGCAUGGUUCAAAAGUGAAAGACGGCCUUGCUGUCACUUAUAGAUGGAUCCGCGCUGCAUUAGCUAGUUGUUAAGGUAACGGCUUACCAAGGCAACGAUGCAUAGCCGACCGGAGAGGGUGAUCGGCCACACUGGAACUGAGACACGGUCCAGACUCCUACGGGAGGCAGCAGUAGGGAAUCUUCCGCAAAGGGCGAAAGCCUGACGGAGCAGCGCCGCGUGAGUGAUGAAGGUCUUCGGAUCGUAAAACCCUGUUAUUAGGGAAGAACAUAUGUGUAAGUAACUGUGCACAUCUUGACGGUACCUAAUCAGAAAGCCACGGCUAACUACGUG